GUGUUUUAACCUGGAAUAUCUAGCUAGAACCUCCUGAAUAAUAUGUAGGGCCAAGGCAGCAUUUUCUUUAAACAUAUUUUGUAAACCAAGCAAUUAUAUAUAUAAACAAAUAAGCAUUUCUAACAGUUACCAUACUACGGUUUCAUGAUUGUAUGCUUUAAGAGGCAAGUAGCUAGUAUAAUGUUUCUCAACAAAUGCCCUCCUUUAACAUUCAAGUGAAUUCCACUAAGAAUGUCACAUGAUCUUGCUGUUUGGUUCUAUGCACAGAGUAAUCUCUCUCAA
Molecule: long non-coding RNA, 282 nt
Filed under: Bos taurus (domestic cattle)
Lineage: Eukaryota; Metazoa; Chordata; Mammalia; Artiodactyla; Bovidae
Description: long non-coding RNA NONBTAT025483
Source: RNAcentral